This 250-nucleotide ribosomal RNA is filed under the name uncultured bacterium. RNAcentral's name for it is "partial 16S ribosomal RNA". It matches the Rfam family "Bacterial small subunit ribosomal RNA", at positions 524 to 773 of the family's 1533-position model. The record is from RNAcentral.
UACGGAGGCCUCGAGCGUUGUUCGGAAUCACUGGGCUUAAAGCGCGUGUAGGCGGAGCGGUAAGUACUUUGUGAAAUCCCCGGCUUCAAUCCGGGAACUGCUUGGUAUACUGCCGUUCUUGAGGCAGGUAGGGGUCACUGGAACCUUAGGUGGAGCGGUGAAAUGCGUAGAUAUCUAAGGGAACGCCUGUGGCGAAAGCGGGUGACUGGGCCUGACCUGACGCUGAGACGCGAAAGCGUAGGGAGCAAAC